UACGGGGGAUGCAAGUGUUAUCCGGAAUAAUUGGGCGUAAAGCGUCUGUAGGGGGUUGACCAAGUCUGUUGUUAAAAAUCAGGGCUCAACCCUGAUCCGGCAACAGAAACUAGUAAACUUGAGUACGGUAGGGGCAGAGGGAAUUCUCGGUGUAGUGGUGAAAUACGUAGAUAUCGAGAAGAACACCAAUAGCGAAAGCACUCUGCUGGGCCGAAACUGACAUUGAGAGACGAAAGCUAGGGGAGCAAAAGGG
Molecule: ribosomal RNA, 253 nt
Filed under: uncultured bacterium
Lineage: Bacteria
Description: partial 16S ribosomal RNA
Rfam family: Bacterial small subunit ribosomal RNA
Source: RNAcentral